This 971-nucleotide long non-coding RNA is filed under the name Monodelphis domestica (gray short-tailed opossum). Its description in RNAcentral is "lncRNA (ENSMODG00000043914.1)". The record is from RNAcentral. Lineage: Eukaryota; Metazoa; Chordata; Mammalia; Didelphimorphia; Didelphidae.
GUCCACUCAUCUGACUGCAAAUUCAAAUAAUAUAAAGUUUAAUAAUCCAGUUGGAAUUGGAGUUUUUCCUUAGCUUCAGAGUAUAGGGCCAGGCCCUAGAGGCUGGGGCAGAGGGUUUUCCCACUUCCGUCUCCUCUAUAUCAGUCCAGUUUUGUAUACUUCAGAAUCUUAGCAGUAGAUAGAAAGCAAACAAGAACAGGUCUAAUCUUCAGAAGUGACUGGGCCUGAAUCUUCCAGUUGAACCAAGAAGAGCAUGCCACUCCUGACUGGGCUGACCAUGCUCCUUCCUCCUCCAACACCCGGAAGCCAGUCCCACAUGGCAAGAAGGAAGUGCUAGUCACAAGACCCAACUGCCACUCCCAGUUGGGCCCUUCCCCCACAAACUGUCAGUCUUGUUUCCUUUCCACAAUAUAAAAGAUGUACAUAUACAUGGAACAUAUAUUCAAUUUCCUUUGAGUUGCCCUGGAUUUCACUAAGAAAGCUCCAUAAUAUUCUGGAGAUUGGUAACUACAUGCAGAUACAGAAUCAUCCAUAAACAGGAACAUCUAAAGGUAUUCACUAUCAACUGGGAAUCAUUCCAUCAGCUAUAAGCAUUUGUGUCUACAAUGCCAAUUCCUGGAACUAUGGACUUGGACUUUGUAAGAGGAAUAAUUCUACAGGAGACAGCCCUAAAGUUUACAAUGGAAGGCUCAGCACUCAAUCGACUGUGAGAGCAGCUCUCUGUACAUUGAAAAGCACCAAAGCUUAGUGGGAAGUUCAUGAAGAUAAUACAAAGCCUGAAAGGGUAGCCAUCAUCUGCCAAUAUGAGUACAAGUUGGGGGAAUAAGCCUCCAAGGUAUAUUACACUGGUUUUAAGAAAACUGUACAUCCAUGGAAAUUUGGAGGAAAACACUUGACUAAUUCAGGAAAAUUCACAAAAUAAUGUUUACAUAUGUUAUUUCAUUUUGUAUUUUUGUAUUAUUUUAUAUUUU